RNAcentral lists this long non-coding RNA (627 nucleotides) under Salmo trutta (river trout). RNAcentral describes it as "lncRNA (ENSSTUG00000028386.1)". Lineage: Eukaryota; Metazoa; Chordata; Actinopteri; Salmoniformes; Salmonidae. The record is from RNAcentral.
GUUGCCUUCUAUUGUUACAACAUGGAAGUGCUACCACAGGUCUGAUUUGAAUACAGUCUAAUAUGUACUUUUCCAUUUUAGUACCAUAAGAGACACGAGAGAGAUCUACUAGACCAGAAGAAGGAGAAGGAAGAGACACUACUGCUGGAGAUGGAACAGCUAGAGCGACAGCAGAGCGAAGCCAAGCUCACCAGUGAAAAACACACCGAAAAGAAACGUAAAGAGUUGAGGAAGGCCAAACUGGCACGGAGUCGGUCGCUUAGCAGCCACCCUACUACACCCAAGAUGGCUAAUCCAGACAAAACUCUAAAGGUCAAGGAUUCAGGAAGCUGUCCUGGAAAAGGGAAGAACUUGCUUCCUAUGAAUGCGGACGAGGCUCUGCGGUCGCACCACUUCAGCGUGGCAGCAGCGUCGUCAGUGCUGUCUCCAACUCCCUCGGCUUCCUCCAUGCCCGUCCUUAUCCGCAGCAACACCACCAACACCCUGGUGGACCACCCACACCAACACCAGCACCGCAGCAGCACCCUGGACCACCGCACCACCAACGGGAGCAAGGACACCCAGUCCAGAAAACUCUCAAUACAAAGGAAGUCCAACUCUUUCGGUAUGCAGUCGGGGAGGGAGUAA